RNAcentral lists this ribosomal RNA (577 nucleotides) under Rhodotorula sp. 2PK13. RNAcentral's name for it is "eukaryotic LSU rRNA". The stretch from base 157 to 310 matches the Rfam family "5.8S ribosomal RNA". Lineage: Eukaryota; Fungi; Basidiomycota; Microbotryomycetes; Sporidiobolales; Sporidiobolaceae. The record is from RNAcentral.
ACGAGCCUGACCUCCACUUUCUAACUCUGUGCAUUUGUUGGCUUGAGUCGGGUGAGACGGUACGUUCGCUUGCGGACGAACCGGCGAAACGACUCUGGCGGCUUCACUUUAUAAACACCAGUCAAAGUAUGUAACGAAAUAUCGAAAUAAAAAAAAAACUUUCAACAACGGAUCUCUUGGCUCUCGCAUCGAUGAAGAACGCAGCGAAAUGUGAUAAGUAAUGUGAAUUGCAGAAUUCAGUGAAUCAUCGAAUCUUUGAACGCACCUUGCGCUCCCUAGUAUUCUGGGGAGCAUGUCUGUUUGAGUGUCAUGAACUCUUCAACCCAUCAGUUUCUUGUAGACUGACUGGAGCUUGGAUUUUGAACGUUGCUGGUCCCUCGUUGGACCUUAGCUCGUUCGUAAUACAUUAGCCGCUCUAAUUCGAAUUCGGAUUGACUCAGUGUAAUAGACUAUUCGCUGAGGACACUCUUCGGAGUGGCCGAACGAUCGAUACUUGAGCAGCUUCAAACUCUUGUAGUCAACUUUAGAUUAGACCUCAGAUCAGGCAGGAUUACCCGCUGAACUUAAGCAUAUCAAU